CCACACACACUUCCUCCUUUUGUGUCAUUUUAUAAUCUAAAGUAACAAAAACAGGAAAAUGAUCACUUAUGUCAUUUAUGACAAGACCACUUAUAAUGUUGCUUUCCAAGCAAUUAAUUAAAAUGUGAUCAAUUGAAGUAGCUGACUUUUCAGUUAUUCUACUAGGUUUAGUAAUCAGAGGGUAAAACCCUCUUCCAAAUAAUAACUCAAAAAAAUCUGAUGAUGCCUUAUGAUUGGACAUUUAAAAAAAAUCAAUAUUAUAAUCCCCGCAAAUACAGAAUGUCUUAUUUCCCUUUACCUUGCUCAAUAAAUCUUCUACUACAUCUGUGAAUGUUUCUAUCAAUGUCCCAGGCCUCCUAUACAUACAAGUAACAAUUAUAUUACUCUUUCUUUCCAUUUCUAUUUCUACUGUCACACACUCCAUUAAAUCAUCAAUAGCCACAGACAUAUAUUCAACCUGUUUACAUUUCAAAUCACUAUCAACAAAAAGUGCCACACCUCCUGCCUUCUUAUUAGAUCUAUUUAUAUGAUAUAAUUCAUACCCAUCAAUGUGAAAGUCCCAACCCCUGUCCUCAUCUAUCCAUGUUUCCGAUAGUGCUAUCACUCUAAACUUGCCUUUCAAAGUAUUCAAAAAAUCAUUGAUCAGAACAAAACUUUUAUAGAGGCUUCUACAGUUGAAAUGAAUUAAUGAAAAUGUAUUGUCUAAGUCAACAUUAUCCCUAAAUUGAUUCUCAGUAUAAUACUCGCAUGUAACAUUAAUUGCAUUAAGCACAUUCCUUUCUGGAUCAAUAUUAUUUUCAAAAUCAUGUAAUUUGUAAUCCGAAUCUUCAGUCAUUGUGAUUGGGUAUUCUUUAAAUGUCUGUUAUCCUUAUGACAUACCCAAGUAUUUCACAACAUAUUUUGAGAAACCACUCAUAGCUAUACAGUUCUUUCUGAUCCAUAAAUAACUGCGGAUCAAAUCUAUAUAUCGUCUCCGUGCAUAAUGGUGACACCGUCGAUCCCAGUUCCAUAUCCACCUGCAGCUUCACAAUAAUACUCUUCCAGUCGACUGUCUCAUACCUUGCCAUUUUCCCCCUCCGACAGUCGGAAAUAGUGUCUUUCAUUGAAUAAGUUCGGCUAGUUGUUAGCAAACACAUCAUAACAGACCUUCUGCCGUCCGACCACAACAGUGUAAUCAUCCCCCGUAGUUGUCCAAAUCAUGAAGAUCCCUGAUCAUUACAACCUUGGCUUCUUCUGGUGUUCCGUUGAGCUUUAUCAUCACUUUGCAAUUUCUUGUCCAUGUUGCUUGGAUUUUUUUUUCUUUACGCAUGAUACGGGCUUGUCUGGCAAUAUCGGCGUUCUUUUUCGUGAGAUGUUCAUUCACAUAUACUCCACUCCCUUUCAGUUGUCUGGACUGCCUCAGUAGCUCAAUUUUGUGUUUUCGAUUCACAAAUUUUACUACUAUUGCUGGAGGUGCCCUGGCAUUCUUUCUGGGGAGGGUAUAACACACCGCGAUGUUGUUGCUAUGCAGGGGAAGUUUUUUACUUGCAAAAAACUCCACUACCUGACGCUCUAGUGUUUGUUGCUCCCCCACCGGGGGCUCAUCUCCGCCAGACCUCACACCACUCCCAGUCUCAGUAACUCUUGCAUAGCUCCUGUGUUUGGUUUCCAAACCGGUAAUAAUUACGUCCUAAUUACGUCCUCCAGUCGUGCAUGCUGUUCUAAAUCCUCCACUCUCCUUUCCAAGAGCUAUCCUUUUAUCCUUUUCCUUAAUCAAGCUUUUUAAUUCUUUGAUUUGGUCCAUUAAGUCGUUAACAUUCCUUGUUGCUUAACUAUUCUUUCGACGUCUGUUGACAACGAGUUAAGCGACAGCUUAAUCUCCUCCAAAUCUUCUUCAAUUUUUCUCAUCUUUGCCAUUUUCUCCUUUUUGUUUGUUUGUGUUUUGUUUCAAGCUAAAUAUAUUUGACUUUAAUUUGAUUCAGUCACACAACCUUUGUGGCUGUAAUGUGACAAAAUGUGGGAAAGUUCAAGGGGGCCGAAUACUUUUGCAAGCCACUGUAUCUAGUUUUGUUUCCCCUUGUCUCAUCAUGUCUAAAUAGUCCCAGCUGUGUUUCCCUCCUGUUUCCCAUUCCCUCGUUGCACCCUUGUGCAUUUAAGCCCUGCAUUUUCCUUGGGUUUUUUUGUUUUGUACCCUCACUAUGCUGUGUGUUUCUUCCCUCAGUGUGCCAAGUCUACUCCUAGUUUUGAGUUCCUGGUUUAUUUUCUAGUGUUUUAGUUUUAGUUUCUUGUUUCUAGUUUCUUCUUUUGCUUUGUAUUUGGAUGUGAGGUUUUACAGCAUUAAAGCUGCCGUUUUGAGUUUACUCAAAGUGUAGGACUCAUAAACUCAAAAGAGUUUAUGAGUCCUACAUUUGGCUCUCGUAGGUGUGCAGAAUUUCCAUAGAACUUCACCUGCUGCUCCGCGAGCAUCCAAACCUCGUCCACUUCCGUUGGGAAUCCUCCUGCGCACUGGAGGCGCAGCUCAAUUCUGUCCCCCGGACAAAGCGGUGCUUACGCCGCCAGCACUCUUCAUUCACUGAGCAACUCCCAGUGGUUAAUGAAAAUGACUAUUUUUCUUAUGCUCUUCUCGACUUUCAAAACUGUUCAUCAUGGUGGAAAAGGUCUAAAACCUAUUUUCGCUGCAUCCGAGCCUGCUCCCCUGCCUCACUGUGUUCCUGUUCCUGGUCCAGCCUUCCCCUACACCCGAGUCAGUUUCCCAGGUGAGGGGGGCUAGGCCCUGGUUGGUCCCUGCUCUAGUUUCCAGGCCAGCUGAGGCUCUGCUAGUCCCUGCACCUGUACCAGCUUCUCAGGUGGUGACAGCAGCUGCCCAGCUGUUGCCACUGCCUGUUCCAGUCCCCAGGGUGAGGGCGGCCAAGAACCAGUUCACUCCUGCACCUGUACCUAUUCCUUGGGUGGGAGCGACUGGUGUCCGGUCUGUCCCGGUACCUGUGCCGGUCCCUGAGGUGAGGCCUGCCAGGACACAGCCGACCUCUGAACCCAUACCUACUACUCGGGUGGAGUGGCUAGUUCCCGGCAGGGGCCUGCACCCAUUACUGUCUCCACUGGAGGCUCACCUCAGUCACUAGCUCAGGAAUCUGCUCAGCCACCUGGUCAGUCAUCAACUCAGCCACCUGCUAAGCUGUUCAGCCAGGAGUCUCUGCACCUUCUGGCCCUGCAUCGCCUCAGCCAGAGGUCUCAGCACCUGCUGGCUCUGCAUCUGUUCCCGGUGGGGGCUCAGGUUAGCUGCGCCAGCCAUCUGUUCCUGGUGGGGGCUCAGGUGAGCCGCACCUGCUGUCUGUUCCCAUUGGGGGCUCAGGUGAGCCUCGCCAGCUGUCUGUUCCCUGUGGCAGCUCUGAAGAGCCUAUCCAGCCAUCGCCUUCAGCUUCACCACCUGCUGCGUCCGCUGGCAGUUCUGGAGAGUCCUUCCAGCUACGCAUGGUUUCCACGCCGGUUCCCGUCUCUGCUGGUGACUCUGGAGAAUCUGUCAAACCAUCAACUCCACCAACUGCCUGUGGUAGCCACGCCACCAUCAGUUGGCCUCCGGACCUUCUUUGCCUGCGCUGCCGCAGUUUUCCACGCUGUCGGCCUCCAGAUUUGAUUCACCCACAAGACUGCCCCUUUCCUUGUUAUUUGGACUUUUGUGCUUGGUUUUGGACUCUUGUGCCUAGUUUUGUGCCUUGGACUCUGUUUUUCUUCUUGUUUGUUUUACUUCGAUGGUCCCUUGUUUCAUGUCAGUGUAUCUAUUUUUGCUUCCCCUUGUCUUAUCAUAUCUAAUUAGUCCCAGCUAUGUUUAUUUUCAAAUGUUUUAGUUUGUUACUUGUUUCUAGUUUCUUCCUUUGCUUUGUAUGUGGAUUUGAAGCUUUCCAGCAUUAAAGCUGCCAUUUUGAAUUUA
This is a long non-coding RNA of Oreochromis niloticus (Nile tilapia), 3907 nucleotides long. RefSeq lists it as uncharacterized. The transcript has 2 exons. The record is from RefSeq and is a predicted model, not a curated record. Lineage: Eukaryota; Metazoa; Chordata; Actinopteri; Cichliformes; Cichlidae.